RNAcentral lists this signal recognition particle RNA (299 nucleotides) under Chinchilla lanigera (long-tailed chinchilla). RNAcentral's name for it is "Metazoan signal recognition particle RNA (ENSCLAG00000021979.1)". It matches the Rfam family "Metazoan signal recognition particle RNA". From Rfam's summary of the family: The signal recognition particle (SRP) is a universally conserved ribonucleoprotein. It is involved in the co-translational targeting of proteins to membranes. Lineage: Eukaryota; Metazoa; Chordata; Mammalia; Rodentia; Chinchillidae. The record is from RNAcentral.
GCCGGGUGCAGUGGUGUGCGCCUGUAGUCCCAGCUACUCGGGAGGCUGAGGUGGGAGGAUCGCUCGAGUCCAGGAGUUCUGGGCCACAGUGCGCUAUGCCGAUCGGGUGUCCGCACUAAGUUUGGCAUCAGUAUGGUGACCUUGACCUCCCGGGAGCCGGGGACCACCAGGUUGCCUAAGGAGGGGUGAACCGGCCCAGGUCGGAAACGCAGCAGGUCAAAACUCCCGUGCUGAUCAAGGUGCUCUGUGCCCUAGUGAUGUCUCUGACUCCUCCCUGGCCUUUACUGCGUAUCAUACCA